Molecule: ribosomal RNA, 398 nt
Filed under: bacterium SPA I9900316
Lineage: Bacteria
Description: bacterial SSU rRNA
Rfam family: Bacterial small subunit ribosomal RNA
Source: RNAcentral
GCAACGAGCGCAACCCUUAUCUUUAGUUGCCAGCAUUCAGUUGGGCACUCUAGAGAGACUGCCGUCGACAAGACGGAGGAAGGCGGGGAUGACGUCAAAUCAUCAUGCCCCUUAUGACCUGGGCUACACACGUGCUACAAUGGCUGGUACAACGGGAAGCUAGCUCGCGAGAGUAUGCCAAUCUCUUAAAACCAGUCUCAGUUCGGAUUGCAGGCUGCAACUCGCCUGCAUGAAGUCGGAAUCGCUAGUAAUCGCGGAUCACAUGCCGCGGUGAAUACGUUCCCGGGCCUUGUACACACCGCCCGUCACACCACGGGAGUUUGCAACACCCGAAGUCGGUGAGGUAACCGCAAGGAGCCAGCCGCCGAAGUGGGGUAGAUGACUGGGGUGAAGUCGUA